AUGGGUCAAAAUCAAACUGGUGGUCAUGUCUUGGAGGUGGCAAGAAGGAUGACAAGGACAAGAAAAAGAAAUAUGAACCUCCCGUACCAACUAGAGUGGGGGGAAAAAAGAAGAAGAAAACAAAGGGCCCAGAUGCUGCCAGCAAACUGCCACUGGUGACGCCACACUCAGUGCCAGUUAAAAUUAUAGAAGUUAGAAUUAAAGAUUAUCUUCUCAUGGACGAAGAAUUCAUUAGAAAUCAGGAACAAAUGAAGCCUUUAGAAGAAAAACAAGAGGAGGAAAGAUCAAAGGUGGAUGAUCUUAGGGUGGAUGAUCCCAAUGUCAGUAGGAAAUUUGAAAGAGAUCAUUGAUGACAAUCAUACCAUUGUGGCUACAUCUGUGGGCUCAGAAUAUUAAGGCAGCAUUCUUUCAUUUGUAGACAAGGAUCUGCUAGAGCCAGGCUGCUCGGUCCUGCUCAACCACAAAGUGCAUGCCGUGAUAGGGGUGCUGAUGGAUGACAUGGACCCCGUGGUCACAGUGACAACGAAGGUGGAAAAGGCCCCACAGGAGACCUAUGCUGACACUGGGAGUUUGGACAACCAAAUCCAGGAAAUUCAGGAAUCUAUGGAGCUUCCUCUCACUCAUCCUGAAUAUUAUGAAGAGAUGGGUAUAAAGCCCUCUAAAGGGGUCAUUCUCUAUGGUUCACCUGGCACAGGUAAAUCCUUAUUAGCCAAAGAAGCAGCAAACAAAAUCUCAGCCACUUUCUUGAGACUGGUUGGCUCUGAACUUAUUCAGAAGUACCUGGGUGAUGGGCCCAAACUCAUUCAGGAAUUAUUUAGAGUUGCUGAAGAACACGCACCAUCCAUAGUGUUUAUUGAUGAAACUGAUGCCAUUGGGACCAAAAGAUAUGAUGCAAAUUUAGGUGGUGAGAGAGAAAUUCAGUAACCAAUGUUGCAACUCCUGAACCAGUUGGAUGGAUUUAAUUCAAGGGGAGACAUGAAAGUUAUCAUGGCUAUAACCUAAAUAAACCUUUGGAUCCAGCACUUAUCAGACCAGGCCACACUGACAGGUAUUGGGUUUUCCCCCUGCCUGACGAAAAGACCAAGAAGCGCAUCUUUCAGAUCUACACAAGCAGAAUGAGUCUGGCCAAUUACGUGACACUGGACAAUGACAUGGCUAAAGAUGACCUCUCUGGUGUCGACAGCAAGGCAAUGUACAGAAGCCAGUCUGAUGGCCUUGUGAGAAUGUAGAAUGAAAGUAACAAAUGAAGACUUCAAAAAAAUCUAAAGAAAAUGUUCUUUAUAAAAAAAACAGGAAGGCACCCCUGAGGGGCUCUAUCUCUAG
Molecule: RNA transcript, 1323 nt
Organism: Hipposideros armiger (great roundleaf bat)
Lineage: Eukaryota; Metazoa; Chordata; Mammalia; Chiroptera; Hipposideridae
Gene name: 26S protease regulatory subunit 4-like
Exons: 2
Source: RefSeq, a predicted model, not a curated record